This 373-nucleotide ribosomal RNA is filed under the name uncultured bacterium. RNAcentral describes it as "bacterial SSU rRNA". It matches the Rfam family "Bacterial small subunit ribosomal RNA", at positions 523 to 898 of the family's 1533-position model. The record is from RNAcentral.
AGACGAACCGUCCAAACGUUAUUCGGAAUCACUGGGCUUAAAGGGUGCGUAGGCGGCCCGGAAAGUUGGGUGUGAAAUCCCUCGGCUCAACCGAGGAACUGCAUUCAAAACUACCGGGCUUGAGGGAGAUAGAGGUGAGCGGAACUCAGGGUGGAGCGGUGGAAUGCGUUGAUAUCCUGGGGAACACCAGUUGCGAAGGCGGCUCACUGGGUCUUUUCUGACGCUGAGGCACGAAAGCUAGGGGAGCGAAGAGGAUUAGAUACCCUCGUAGUCCUAGCUGUAAACGAUGAGCACUAGAUCGAAGGACUUCGGUCCUUCGGUCGUAGCGAAAGUGAUAAGUGCUCCGCCUGGGGAGUAUGGUCGCAAGGCUGAA